Molecule: ribosomal RNA, 600 nt
Filed under: uncultured marine bacterium
Lineage: Bacteria
Description: bacterial SSU rRNA
Rfam family: Bacterial small subunit ribosomal RNA
Source: RNAcentral
AGAGUUUGAUCCUGGCUCAGGAUGAACGCUGGCGGCGUGCUUAACACAUGCAAGUCGAACGAACCUUCGGGUUAGUGGCGGACGGGUGAGUAACGCGUGAGAAUCUGCCCUCAGGAGGGGGACAACAGCUGGAAACGGCUGCUAAUACCCCAUAUGCCGCGAGGUGAAAUGAAUUUCGCCUGAGGAUGAGCUCGCGUCUGAUUAGCUAGUUGGUGUAGGUAAUGGCUCACCAAGGCAUCGAUCAGUAGCUGGUCUGAGAGGAUGAUCAGCCACACUGGGACUGAGACACGGCCCAGACUCCUACGGGAGGCAGCAGUGGGGAAUUUUCCGCAAUGGGCGAAAGCCUGACGGAGCAACGCCGCGUGAGGGAUGAAGGCCUCUGGGCUGUAAACCUCUUUUAUCAAGGAAGAAGAUCUGACGGUACUUGAUGAAUAAGCCACGGCUAAUUCCGUGCCAGCAGCCGCGGUAAUACGGGAGUGGCAAGCGUUAUCCGGAAUUAUUGGGCGUAAAGCGUCCGCAGGCGGCCCUUCAAGUCUGCUGUUAAAAAGCGGAGCUUAACUCCAUCAUGGCAGUGGAAACUGUUGGGCUUGAGUGUGGUAG